GAUGAACGCUGGCGGCGUGCCUAACACAUGCAAGUCGAGCGAACAGACGACUGGUUUCCUCCUCAGACGUUAGCGGCGCACGGGUGAGUAACACGUGUAUAAUCUCCUUCUCAUACUGGGAUAACUUCGGGACAGCGGCGCUAAUACCGUAUAACAUUUUGUACCGCAUGGUUCUGUAGUGAAUGACGGUUUUGCUGUCACUUAUAGAUUGAUCCGCGCCGCAUUAGCUAGUUGGUAAGGUAACGGCUUACCAAGGCAACGGUGCAUAGCCGACGUGGGAGGGUGAUCGGCCACACUGGAACGGAGACACGGUCCAGACUCCUGCGGGAGGCAGCAGUAGGGAAUCGUCCGCAGUGGGCGAAAGCCUGACGGAGCAGCGCCGAGUGAGUGAUGAAGGUCUCGGGUGCGUAAAGCUCUGUUAUGAGGGAAGAACAAAUGUGUAAGUGACUAUGCACGUCUUGACGGUACCUAGUCAGAAAGCCACGGCUAACUACGUG
Molecule: ribosomal RNA, 497 nt
Filed under: uncultured bacterium
Lineage: Bacteria
Description: partial 16S ribosomal RNA
Rfam family: Bacterial small subunit ribosomal RNA
Source: RNAcentral